Molecule: ribosomal RNA, 423 nt
Filed under: uncultured Lachnospiraceae bacterium
Lineage: Bacteria; Bacillati; Bacillota; Clostridia; Lachnospirales; Lachnospiraceae
Description: bacterial SSU rRNA
Rfam family: Bacterial small subunit ribosomal RNA
Source: RNAcentral
UGGGGAAUAUUGCACAAUGGGGGGAAACCCUGAUGCAGCAACGCCGCGUGAGUGAAGAAGUAUUUCGGUAUGUAAAGCUCUAUCAGCAGGGAAGAUAAUGACGGUACCUGACUAAGAAGCUCCGGCUAAAUACGUGCCAGCAGCCGCGGUAAUACGUAUGGAGCAAGCGUUAUCCGGAUUUAUUGGGUUUAAAGGGAGCGUAGGCUGUCCUUUAAGCGUGUUGUGAAAUGUAGGCGCUCAACGCCUGCACUGCAGCGCGAACUGAAGGACUUGAGUGUGCACGACGCUGGCGGAAUUCGUGGUGUAGCGGUGAAAUGCUUAGAUAUCACGAAGAACUCCGAUUGCGAAGGCAGCUGGCGAGAGCACAACUGACGCUGAAGCUCGAAAGUGCGGGUAUCGAACAGGAUUAGAUACCCUGGUAGU